GGUCUAAGGCACUGCAUCUCAGUGCAAGAGGUGUCACUACAGUCCCUGGUUUAAAUCCAGGCUGUAUCACAUCUGGCUGUGAUUGGGAGUCUCAUAUGGUGGUGCACAAUUGGCCCGUGUUUGGCCACGGUAGGCUGUCAUUGUAAAUAAGAAUGUUUUCUAAACUGACUUGCCUAGGUAAAAAAAUAAAACGUAACUCAACAAGCGGAGCAGAUCAGCUUGCAUUUACAAUACGAGAGCAGAAAAACUCAAUCUUGAAGCUGAGAUAAACCAAGUGUUUUCAGAUUUAUUUUCCAUUCAUUGGACAAUUACCUUUUAGUAUGUACACACCAGGGACGUCACAAGAGAUUCAAGGAUAGGGGGGUAAGCCUCUUUUAUGGGGGUCUGGCAUACUCCCUCCUGUCCGUUUACUGUUAAGCCACAGAAGUAGCUGAGACUGUUAGCUAAUGUUAACCAAAAUGUUAGCUACCAGUAGGCCUAAUGGUACAUGUACACUAGAUAGCAGUAAAUUGCCGCGUGCCGCUUAGGCCGUCCAUUGUGACUCGCUUGUGGGUGUGCUGGCAGCAUAUGGCAGCAAAUAGUUUGAUUGUGCGUCAAGAAUUCAGCAUAGCAAGUUUGUAUGAAGGUCUGGUUAUAAAAUGGGUACAUAGUUCAAAAGUAAUAUCCUCUAAAAUGCUCUAGUGACAAACAAACUUUGUUGCCUUGUUUCCAAUUGUCCACAUGGCUGGGAGAACCUAUUCAAGGAAGUAUAUACAUUUAGAAAAUGUAAAAAAACAACAACUAUGUAUUAUUAGCUAACUACAGUUCAGACUAACUCAAAUGAGCUGCUAAAUGAGCUAGCUAGUCGGCUAGCUUGCUAUCUAGCCAAAUUCACAUACUGUAUAGAUAGCUAAGUGAAUUAAAUAUCACUAGCUACCCAACUUCAUAUUAGUUAGCUGUCUUGAUGUAUUUAUCACUGUAAAAAAACAAACUCCAAAUGCAUUUGUAGGUAGCUAGCUAACAGCCAUGGAGGAGGGUGAAAGGAUAGCAGCCCCAACUGUCAGUGAGAGAGGAGGCUAUUCUGGAUAGGGCAGGUACUUGUGUAAUUCCUGUCCCUAGAAGUGAGGACGGAGAUAAUUGUAACAUAAUAUUCAGUGCGGUGUAAUUUGACUAUAAUAAAGUCUGUUUCUUGUGAGGUUUUCUGUCCUCAGAUAAAGAGAGCUAUGAAAGCCUGUCUACAUAUGAAGAGCAGUGGUUCUCAGUCCUGGGGAUUCAAAGGGGUGCACAAUUUUGUUUUUGCCUUAGUACUGCACAGCUGAUUCAUAUGAUCGUCUCAUCAAGCUUCGAGUGGUAUUUAUGUAUUCAUUUGUGAUGCUAUCCUUGAUAUUAUCCUGUUAUUGUCACAUGCUACACAUGUACAUAUGUGUGCCCAUGCAUCUAUCAAUCCAAUGUUAUCAUGAUUUGUUAUCAGGUAUAUUAUACUUUAGUAAUCCACAAUGACCAGGUGAUGUAAGUCUAACAAUUACAUUGUCUUCCAUAUUCCCUAGAUACCUUGUAACGGGAGAUUCCUUCAAAACAAUUGCCUACAGUUAACAUGUAUGGCACUGCAAGGUUGGGUGACCAGGGCCAUCUGGGACUGCCUCCUGGGGGAAUUCAGGUGUGUGAAGGCUAUCUGUGUCCUGCAUAACUUCAUGAGGAUGGACACGAGGACCAGGAGGGGAUCUGCAGCUCGCCGCCAUUUGCCAGAGAAGUCUGCUGCUCUGCAGGAUGUUUCAAGGAUAGGGUCCAACAACGCAGUAAGAAAGGCAAACCGUGUGCGGGAUAUCUUCACCUCCUACUUCUUCAAAGAGGGUGCUGUUCUCUGGCAACACCAUAGACUACACUAUGCACAACCAAAUGCUCUUUUAAGAGCCAUCCACAUUGCAAUAAGAGUAUUCUUCCAUUUACUUAACUAUGUCAACUGCAAUUAUUCAAUUCCCAGUUUCUCUCCCUUUGAUUUCUACUUCUCAGGUGAGGGUGCUGUUUAGGUAAGGGCGUGAUGUCUGUACAAAAACAACAGGCUCUUUUAAGAGUCACCCAUAUUGAAAAAAUGUAGAACAAUUAGACACCCUAUAACCCACACCUACACACUCAUGUAUCAAUCUGAUUGAUGGAUUGUGUUGUGCAGUAAGCAGGCUCAAGUGUAUAACUGUGGCUCCUUCCACCUUUAACAAAUAGGCAAGAGGGCCAACCAUGGAGAAUAGUAAAACACUUCAUUAUUUCUAUAACUACGCUAUAUUGUUUGUCCUCAUGUGCCCGUUCAGGUUUUUCAGCAUUAAGUACCCUGCAGCCACUUAGUGUGGACACCAGGUUAUAUCAGAUGUGUCGGUGAAGCCCUCCCGCAUCUGAACUGGCUACAUAGAGGGCACUUGGUCAAGUCAACAGGAAGUAUUAUUAAAGAGAUGCUUUACAUGGAAAUAGAGAUGCAGUAGUCCCAGAGUUCAUGAUCCAAGAUGUUUUGAUGUGAGAGAGGAUGCUAAACCCCAGUCCCGUCAUCGCCACCUCACCUGCUCAUAAGAUAACCGUCGGGCCGACUUGAGACACUAUGUAAUUGUGAUGAACUGAGAGAAUAUUUGGGUUGCACUGUGAUUCAUUAAUCAUAUGCUGCCUUCCCUGCUCCUAUGUUCUUACCUCUUUCUUCCUGUUUUUAUAUUGCACAAAAGAUGUACAGAUUGAACUUGUAUUUAUAAUAUUACAAUUAUAUUUAUAAUGCAUGUAUUUAUAACACUUGGUUUAU
This is a long non-coding RNA of Salmo salar (Atlantic salmon), 2755 nucleotides long. RefSeq lists it as uncharacterized. The record is from RefSeq and is a predicted model, not a curated record. NCBI's taxonomy places the organism in Eukaryota, Metazoa, Chordata, Actinopteri, Salmoniformes, Salmonidae.